Molecule: long non-coding RNA, 407 nt
Organism: Micropterus dolomieu (smallmouth bass)
Lineage: Eukaryota; Metazoa; Chordata; Actinopteri; Centrarchiformes; Centrarchidae
Exons: 2
Source: RefSeq, a predicted model, not a curated record
AAAAAAAGUCAAAGUAAUGGGGAAAUGCUAUGCACCUGUGAGAAUGCUGUCGAUUUUCCCCACCACCAUGUCAGCAUCCUCCAUAGAGAAGCACAUCGGGGGCUUGAAUUUGAGCACAUUGCGAUGAGGUCCGUCAGCACUAAGAAGGAUGUGCUGUUCCUUUAGCCUGGGACAAACGCAGUUUGGUCAGGUAUCGCCCCACACGCAGUGCAUUGCCUUGGAGAUCCUCUUUCACAAUCACAUCUAGGACGGCCAGACCGAUGGCACACGACACUGGGUUACCGCCAAACUGAGGAAUUCAAAACCCACACACAGAGGAAGGAUUACACCACCUGGGAAAUCAGCUGCUCAUCAGGACGACAGAGCCAUAAGACAGUUUGCUGCAUUAAAUAUAUAGCAAAAUGUCA